This 161-nucleotide non-coding RNA is filed under the name bovine gut metagenome. Its description in RNAcentral is "Lysine riboswitch". It matches the Rfam family "Lysine riboswitch aptamer". From Rfam's summary of the family: Riboswitches are metabolite binding domains within certain messenger RNAs that serve as precision sensors for their corresponding targets. Allosteric rearrangement of mRNA structure is mediated by ligand binding, and this results in modulation of gene expression. The record is from RNAcentral.
AUCAGAGGUGCGUGGUUUAUAAGUAGAACAGCGGAAGUUCGUGCAGACUGAUGAAACUGUUUAAAAGGAGACCAUGCCGAAAGAGCCGUAUGCCCGAUGCGGUUGCUUGGCUUGUGUCUUAAGAGGACACCGGCUGUCACCGGAGUUCCGGCGGAGCGCUG